GAUGAAGAACGCAGUGAAAUGCGAUAAGUAAUGCGAAUUGCAGAAUUCCGUGAGUCAUCGAAUCUUUGAACGCACAUUGCGCCCUCUGGCAUUCCGGAGGGCAUGCCUGUCCGAGCGUCAUUAAUAACCCCUCAAGCCCGGCUUGCGAUUGGGUCAGGCACCGCGUCCACCGCGGUGGACCCGAAAGGGAAUGGCAGGGCCCGAGCGGACCGCGGAUGCAGCGAGCUGUCUAGCACGCGUCUGAGCGGUCUCCGGGCCUGGUCUCAAACCACAACUUCUCAGGUUGACCUCGGAUCAGGCAGGGAUACCCGCUGAACUUAAGCAUAUCAAUAAGCGGAGGGA
This 342-nucleotide unclassified non-coding RNA is filed under the name soil metagenome. RNAcentral's name for it is "partial contains 5.8S ribosomal RNA, internal transcribed spacer 2, and large subunit ribosomal RNA". The stretch from base 1 to 120 matches the Rfam family "5.8S ribosomal RNA", at positions 35 to 154 of the family's 154-position model. The record is from RNAcentral.